GUGACUGCGUACCUUUUGUAUAAUGGGUCAGCGACUUAUAUUCUGUAGCAAGGUUAACCGAAUAGGGGAGCCGGAGGGAAACCGAGUCUUAAUUGGGCGUUAAGUUGCAGGGUAUAGACCCGAAACCCGGUGAUCUAGCCAUGGGCAGGUUGAAGGUUGGGUAACACUAACUGGAGGACCGAACCGACUAAUGUUGAAAAAUUAGCGGAUGACCUGUGGCUGGGGGUGAAAGGCCAAUCAAACCGGGAGAUAGCUGGUUCUCCCCGAAAGCUAUUUAGGUAGCGCCUCGUGAAUUCAUCUCCGGGGGUAGAGCACUGUUUCGGCUAGGGGGCCAUCCCGGCUUACCAACCCGAUGCAAACUGCGAAUACCGGAGAAUGUUAUCACGGGAGACACACGGCGGGUGCUAACGUCCGUCGUGAAGAGGGAAACAACCCAGACCGCCAGCUAAGGUCCCAAAGUCAUGGUUAAGUGGGAAACGAUGUGGGAAGGCCCAGACAGCCAGGAUGUUGGCUUAGAAGCAGCCAUCAUUUAAAGANGGAAGGCCCAGACAGCCAGGAUGUUGGCUUAGAAGCAGCCAUCAUUUAAAGAAAGCGUAAUAGCUCACUGGUCGAGUCGGCCUGCGCGGAAGAUGUAACGGGGCUAAACCAUGCACCGAAGCUGCGGCAGCGAACGUAUCACCCAAGACAACUUUACGGAGUUGACGAUUGACGGAGCGAAGCGACGUCAAAGCGUUCAUUAAAGUCGAGUUGGCUUAGGGAUACGUUC
RNAcentral lists this ribosomal RNA (766 nucleotides) under Salmonella enterica subsp. enterica serovar Weltevreden. Its description in RNAcentral is "bacterial LSU rRNA". It matches the Rfam family "Bacterial large subunit ribosomal RNA", at positions 593 to 1241 of the family's 2925-position model. The record is from RNAcentral. Lineage: Bacteria; Pseudomonadati; Pseudomonadota; Gammaproteobacteria; Enterobacterales; Enterobacteriaceae.